UGGGGAAUAUUGGACAAUGGGCGCAAGCCUGAUCCAGCCAUGCCGCGUGAGUGAUGAAGGCCCUAGGGUUGUAAAGCUCUUUUGUGCGGGAAGAUAAUGACUGUACCGCACGAAUAAGCCCCGGCUAACUUCGUGCCAGCAGCCGCGGUAAUACGAAGGGGGCUAGCGUUGCUCGGAAUCACUGGGCGUAAAGGGUGCGUAGGCGGGUCUUUAAGUCAGGGGUGAAAUCCUGGAGCUCAACUCCAGAACUGCCUUUGAUACUGAGGAUCUUGAGUUCGGGAGAGGUGAGUGGAACUGCGAGUGUAGAGGUGAAAUUCGUAGAUAUUCGCAAGAACACCAGUGGCGAAGGCGGCUCACUGGCCCGAUACUGACGCUGAGGCACGAAAGCGUGGGGAGCAAACA
Molecule: ribosomal RNA, 402 nt
Filed under: uncultured bacterium
Lineage: Bacteria
Description: bacterial SSU rRNA
Rfam family: Bacterial small subunit ribosomal RNA
Source: RNAcentral